Molecule: ribosomal RNA, 555 nt
Filed under: uncultured archaeon
Lineage: Archaea
Description: bacterial SSU rRNA
Rfam family: Archaeal small subunit ribosomal RNA
Source: RNAcentral
ACGGGGUGCAGCAGGCGCGAAACCUUUACACUGCACGCCAGUGCGAUAAGGGGACCCCGAGUGCGAGGGCAUACAGUCCUCGCUUUUCGUGACCGUAAGAAGGUCUCAGAACAAGUGCUGGGCAAGACCGGUGCCAGCCGCCGCGGUAAUACCGGCAGCACGAGUGAUAGCCACUAUUAUUGGGCCUAAAGCGUCCGUAGCUGGCCGAACAGGUCCAUCGGGAAAUCCACCCGCUCAACGGGUGGGCGUCCGGUGGAAACCAGUCGGCUUGGGGCCGGAAGACCAGAGGGGUACGUCCGGGGUAGGAGUGAAAUCCUGUAAUCCUGGACGGACCACCGGUGGCGAAAGCGCCUCGGGAGGACGGAUCCGACAGUGAGGGACGAAAGCUUGGGUCACGAACCGGAUUAGAUACCCGGGUAGUCCAAGCUGUAAACGAUGCUCGCUAGGUGUGGCACUGGCUACGAGCCAGUGCUGUGCCGUAGGGAAGCCGAGAAGCGAGCCGCCUGGGAAGUACGUCCGCAAGACUGAAACUUAAAGGAAUUGGCGGGGGAGCAC